CCUACGGGCGGCUGCAGUGAGGAAUAUUGGUCAAUGGACGAGAGUCUGAACCAGCCAAGUAGCGUGAAGGAUGACUGCCCUAUGGGUUGUAAACUUCUUUUAUAUGGGAAUAAAAUGUUCCACGUGUGGGAUUUUGUAUGUACCAUAUGAAUAAGGAUCGGCUAACUCCGUGCCAGCAGCCGCGGUAAUCCGGAGGAUCAGAGCGUUAUCCGGAUUUAUUGGGUUUAAAGGGAGCGUAGUGGGAUUGUUAAGUCAGUUGUGAAAGUUUGCGGCUCAACCGUAAAAUUGCAGUUGAAACUGGCAGUCUUGAGUACAGUAGAGGUGGGCGGAAUUCGUGGUGUAGCGGUGAAAUGCUUAGAUAUCACGAAGAACUCCGAUUGCGAAGGCAGUUCACUGGACUGCAACUGACACUGAGGCUCGAAAGUGUGGGUAUCAAACAGGAUUAGAUACCCUUGUAGUC
RNAcentral lists this ribosomal RNA (460 nucleotides) under uncultured bacterium. RNAcentral's name for it is "partial 16S ribosomal RNA". It matches the Rfam family "Bacterial small subunit ribosomal RNA", at positions 338 to 795 of the family's 1533-position model. The record is from RNAcentral.